Long non-coding RNA from Linepithema humile (Argentine ant), 508 nucleotides. RefSeq lists it as uncharacterized. NCBI's taxonomy places the organism in Eukaryota, Metazoa, Arthropoda, Insecta, Hymenoptera, Formicidae. The record is from RefSeq and is a predicted model, not a curated record.
CGACGGUCUUUAGGCUAUUUUGACUCUUUUCUUUGAGUGUUUUUUACGUUUUUAAAAAAUUAUCCUAACUCUUAUUCUUCGCUGGAGUUCACUGGAGACUGCCGAACUUUCAACGCUCCCGCUAUUUUGCACGAUUAGAUUUUUGCAAGGAUUUAUAAGCUGAUGAAGCUGCGCUCUGCAUGGCUGGUCACGAUACAACAGUCCACCACUUCGUUAUACAUGUCGUAAUAAUGACAGGGACGAUCACAACUACGGAAACCACCACGGUGGAGAUGAUAAAGAGGCGGAGAUGUCGAGCUUCGAUCGGAAUAAACUGGGGCAGGAUUUUUUUCAACAGUUUGCAGACGCCAUCCAAUGUUAUAUUGCUACUAGUGAAAUCCAAUUAUUCUAAAGAGAUGCACAUCGAAUAUUAAUCCACCCAUUGGAAUUUACAAUUCCCAACGCUAUCUUUCUUUCUACUGAAUCUAUCUAUCUUUAUUACUAAAUAAAACGUUUCCUUGUAUUUUUA